GUGAGAUGGAUGUCGGUUUCCAGACGGAUCUCAUAAGUCCGUCCACGCGGGUUCAACUCCCGCUCUCACCACCA
Molecule: transfer RNA, 74 nt
Filed under: Oceaniferula flava
Lineage: Bacteria; Pseudomonadati; Verrucomicrobiota; Verrucomicrobiia; Verrucomicrobiales; Verrucomicrobiaceae
Description: tRNA-OTHER
Rfam family: tRNA
About the family: Transfer RNA (tRNA) molecules are approximately 80 nucleotides in length. Their secondary structure includes four short double-helical elements and three loops (D, anti-codon, and T loops).
Source: RNAcentral